Molecule: long non-coding RNA, 9124 nt
Filed under: Olea europaea (common olive)
Lineage: Eukaryota; Viridiplantae; Streptophyta; Magnoliopsida; Lamiales; Oleaceae
Description: long non-coding RNA (OEUR_LNC005934)
Source: RNAcentral
UAAGUCCAUAUAAAACCUUCUUCAAUUUGUACACCUUCUGUUCAUUCCCUUACUGUUCAUAUUCAGGAGGUUGUUCCAUAAAAACUUCUUCACUUAGUUCACCAUGUAAGAAUGUUGAUUUUACAUCUAACUGAUAUAUUGUCCAUUGUUUUAGAGUUGCAAGAGAAAUAAUCAUCUUAAUUGUAUCCAAUCGACCUACAGGUGCAAAAACCUCAGUAUAAUCCACCCCAUGUUCUUGAGCAUAUCCAAAGCAAUCGAGCCUUGUGUUUAUCCACCUCUCCAUUCUCAUUAAGCUUAGUCUUGUAAACCCAUUUUGCUCUAAACUUCUUUCCUUCAGUAGGUAGCUCUGUCAAUUCCCAUGUAUCAUUCUUCUCUGUAGCUUCCAUCUCUGUAUCCAUCACUUUUCUCCAUUUUGGACUCUUCACAUCAUCCUUAAAUGAGAUAAGAUCAUUGUCUACAAAGAUAUCUAGAUAUGCACUGUCUUCUUUCUUAGAAUGACCUUCUCCACUAUCAUAGUCUCUCAUCCACACAAGUGCCUUUCUAACUCUUCCUUCACUAGAACUAGGUGGAUCAUCAAUUGACUCAUCCAAGUAACCCUCUACAUCUUCUGUUUUGUUAUCAUGAUGAACAAUUUCAGUGUUUCUUCCAGCAUGUUCCCCAUUAUUGUCAUAUGUGGUUGCUUCUUCAUCAAUUUCUUCCCAGUCAAGAUCAGCUAUAAUAUCUCCUUCAUGACUCUUGUCCCAUUCCCAACUAUUUUAUUCUUCAAGUAUCACAUCUCUGCUUAUUAUUUAUCUUCUGCGUAAUUAGAUCAUGCGAUCUGUAUGGCUUCGACUCCUCAGUAACUCCAAGUAAAAUACAUCUAAUGCUUUUAUUAUCAAGUUUAGUCUUCUUAGCAUCAGGAAUAUGAACAUGUGAAAUGCAGCCAAACAUUGGAUCCUUUCCAAGCUUUUUCUGGAGUCCGAUUUUUCACUGCAAGAUUUGGACUUCUAUUCAAAACAUAGACAGUCCAAUUGACUGCUUCAGGCCAGAAAGUUUUAGGAAUUUGCUUCUCUAGAAGCAUGCUUCGAACCAUAUUCGUAAUGGUAAGAUUUUUUCCCUCCAUAACCCCGUUCUGUUGAGGAGUAUGUGCAGUUGUCAUUUGUUUAUGAAUAUCAUUUUCUUUACAAAAAUCUGUGAAUUCAUGUGAUGAAAAUUCUCCUUCUUGAUCAGUGCAAAGACAUCUUAAAUGGGAGCCAAUUGUUGAAGAUAUGGAAAAUAUUGGUAAGAAUAAUAUUUAUUAUAUUUUCCCUUUUAGUGUAUGAUUAUUUUCCUUAGUAGUUGAUUGUGUAAUUGUUACAGAAUCUUUACUUUUACAUUAUUUCAUUUUGCAAUUAUUUGUAGUCUUAUAAAUAGGGUCUUCUCCUUUGUAAUAUUCACAAGACCUUAAUAAUACAAUUUAUAAUAUUUUAAUAUGGUAUUAAAGUAUGUUUAACUUGGUCUUGGGUUAAACUUGCAAGCUUUCAUUUUUUGACGAGCAGCCUUGUGCCGCUCGUCCGGUGAUCAAAAUUUCUGUAUUUUAUGGUAUUUGUUUUAUUGCCUUUACAUUGAUUUCUUACUCUCCUUUUCGCCAGAAAAUCAAUCAACUCUCGUUAUCAAGAUUUGUUUACAAAUAUUUUCGCCUCACUGCAUAUAAGCCCUAGUCAAAUAACCCAUUAUUCAUGCAAAUUCUUCAUGGAUCUGACCUCGUUAGGGUCGAUGGCUCUCGUGGACCCGACCUCGUUAUUGUGGUUAAUUCUAAUGGACACUGAUUGUUUCGAGUAUAGGAGGAUUUUUUGUUGUUCUAGUCGUCCGGCUGUCGAGGUUUUCCACAGUGCUUUCAAUACUUCUGCCAUGGCCAUGAAUUAUCUUCAACAAAUCAGCGACUGGUGGUGGUUGUCGGAGUAGAAGAGAAAGUGGCCGACGACGAGACCUGUGGAAAAGAUGGCAGAUGUUGGUGGCUGAGGAGUGGUCGGCAACUGAUGGGUAUAGCGUUGAAUUUGCAACGAUUGUAGUGUGGUUUUGGAUACAAGAGUAUUUUGAAAUUGGGUUGUGGUUUGUGGUGAGUAAGUAUGGGCUGUUUUUAGUAUACUGAAGAGAUUAUUAGGCUGUAGCAUUUUGGUUUGAGCUGUAGAUUGUGAUGGUUUGAGCUGUAGAUUGUGAUAGUGGGCUGGAGCACUUCGAGGAAGUUAUGAUUUGAGCUGGGUGUUGGAACUUAGUUGGGUUGGGUAAUUUAAUAUAUAUGGGUUGUUUGUUAUUGUUGGGCCAUAUGGUGUUCUGGACCGAUUAGAUGGGUUAAAAAAAGUGGGCUUGGAUUAUUGUGUUGGGCUGGAAAGUAAAGAUUGAGCUGAUUUAUUUACUUGGCAGGUUAAUUGCGUUAAUUUGUUGGUUUUGGCUAAAAUUUGGGCUAUUGAUAAUUUGUUCUUUUGGGAUAUUGUUUAGGCUGCAAUAUUUGUUUCCAGUUUGGGCUACUUUAUUAGUAUAUUGGACAGGUUAUUAGGUCGGUUAAUUAAUGUUGAACCUGGUUUGGAUAAUUGGUUUAUUGGGCUUCUUUCUCUUUUGGGCUAGUUAAUUUAGGCAAAAACUUGAUGAUUUGCUGGUAAAUUACUACCAAUUUGAGUUAUCUACAAAACAAUAAAGGAUUUGGUAAUUACUGGCAAACGUUUCUUCUCUCUUCUGUUGUUGCUUCAUGUCAUCUGUUCAUUUCUUCUUUUUUCUCUCAUUUUUAUUCUGAUUCUUUGUCCUUGGUUGGUUGAUCAAGAAUUGGUUCUUCUCCUCUAUGAUAUUUUUUUCCGAAUUUGUUUGGUGAUUAUCUUGAUUUGAUUAUUUGGUCUCUCUCUCUCUCUCUCUCUCCCUCUGUCUCUCUCCCUCUCUCUCUCUUUUCUGCUUCGUCUUCUUCUCUGCAUUCAAUUUGACAUAUCCUCAGUUCAUGGGAUUGGACAUUUGGUUUGGUGUAGGUCCAGUUCAUCUGGAAUUUGAUUUGUUAUUUUGUCUGGUGUAUUUAGAAUUUGGAAUUUCGUAUAGUCGGAUUUUGGAAUUGGUAUGUCAAGUUCAAUUGGAAUUUGAAAUUUACAUCCGGUUUAAUUGGCAUUUCUCCUCUCCCGAUUUCUUCUUUGGCGUUGUCUUCUUCUCCGUAGCUAUCUUAUUCUACUACAUCUAUGCUGCUCUUCUUACUGUGGUUGUUCUAUUGAAUGAUUUCCCUCAAAUGCUUUGAAGUUCAUCUACAUCAAUUUGGAAGAUUUGAUUUGAUCGAUUUAUUUUUCAAACUCGAUAUGACUGUCACAAGACCGUAUUGAGUUUGAGAGAGGGUGUUGAAGAUAUGAAAAAUAUUGUUGAGAAUAAUCUCUAUUAUAUUUUUCCUUUUAGUGUAGGAUUAUUUUCCUUAGUAAUUGAUUGUGUAAUUAUUAGAUAAUAUUUUCUUUUAUUUUAUUUUCUUUUACAGUUAUUUGUGGCCCUAUAAAUAGGGUAUUCUCAUUUUUAAUAUUCACAAGACCUUAAUAAUACAAUUUAUAAGAUUUUAACAUCAGUUUCUUUCUCGACACGACUUUUAUAGUUCUUGAAAGUGGCAAAAGCUUCAUACUUCUAUACUAAGAAAUAAACCCAAGUUUUGCUACUAAAAUCAUCGAUAAAAGUAAUUAGGUACCUUUUGUUGCUAUUUGAGACAGGCUUAAUUGGUCCACAUAUAUCAGCAUAGACCAAUUGAAGGAUUUGAAAAGCCCUCCAUGUGCUUUUCUUUGGAAAGGAAUUUUUUCGUUGUUUUCCUUUUUAGCAAUCUUCACACACCUUCAAAGGAGCUGUAAAUUGGGGAAGUUCAUUCACCAUUUUUUUCUGUUGCAGAAUUUUUAAGCUAGUGAAGCUUAAAUGUCCAUAUCUAAAAUGUCAAAGUCGAGCUUGAUCUUCUGUAAAAGAACGCAAACAUGUCUAUUCUUCCUUUGGUUGUAUUGUAGAAAGCAAGACAAACAUUCUAUUUGAUGACAUUGCAGUCUCCAUAAUUAAACCUCUCUUAGGAUAAUAAAUCUUACACUUCCCAUGAUGUAUGAGAAUUGUAAGUCCCUUUUCUUGUAGCUGUCCAACACUGAGCUGAUUAUUCUUCAAUCCAGGGACAUAAAACACCUCGAUGAUGGUCUGCAUAAUUCCGUUAACCAACAUCUGUAUAUUGUCUUUUUCUAUCACAGCCAUACUUGAGUUGUUUCCCAACUUUACAGAAGUGCUGAAAUUGUUUAUCUAGCUUGUUGAAAAAUUCCUUCUUGCCGUACAUAUGGUUACUGUAUCCUGAGUCAAGAGACCAUAAAUCUUUUUUGCUAGCUUUCUUGUUAUCCUCAUAGGCCAUUAACAACAUUUCUUCACUAACAUCAACAUAAUGUGCAUUCUAUGUCUCCUUACUUGGACAUUCAUACUGAAAAUCUCCAAGCCUGUGGCAAUUAUAGCACUCAAUGGUAGACUUAUUAAAGCUUUGUCUACCCCUACCUCGUCCUCGUCCUCGUCCUCGUCCUCGUCCUCUAAUUCCACCACUACUUCGUCCUCUUCCUCCUAAUUGAUUUUCAUAAGUAAGCUUCAGAGCCUGCUCUUCCGUAGCAUGGCUAUUCAUACGUUGUUCAUGUACAAGAAGAUUGCUCUGUAGUUCAUCAAUGGAUAAGUUGUCUAGAUCAUUAGACUCCUCAAUAGAGCAUACAACAUAGUCAAAUUUUGGAGUCAUAGAUGUUAGAAUCUUUUCAUUGACCACGACAUCAGUCAUUUCUCUCCAUGAUUCCUCAUCUUGUUUGCUAUAGUAAAAGUUCUAACAAAAUAUUCAUUCACAGAUUCUCCUACUUUCAUGUUGAGCACCUCAAAUUCCUUUCGAAGAGCUUGUAGUUUCCAGAACUGGUUUAUCAGUGGCUUGGAAUAAAUAAGUGGUUGUGAUUUUGAGGAACAAUUGAAGAAGAUUAAAAGGGGGAGAAGAAGUUAUUAAAAAAAGGAGAGUAGAAAUUAAAUUUUUAAGGUGAAUUUUGAGGAGAAAUGACAUGAUGAAAUCAGAAAAAUUGGAGGAUAUUAACUUAACAACUAAAGGAAAAUUUUGUCAUUUUGCCAACUAAAAUAUUUUGCACUUUUUUAUUUGAUUUUAUUAUUGGUCAAAGGCCAUUUAACUAAACAUUGCGGCCAAAUUCCUUAUGAUAUUGCUAAUGCCUAAUGGAAGAAACUAUUUAGUUUAAAAAUUACUCAAGCCCUGGGGAUUGGGGUGCUUGCUGAGCAGCUCUCCAUUCUACUCUUGAAUCUUGAUUAAACUCUAUUGUACCAAAUCUUUCUGGUACAGAUUUGUCUGUGUUUUUGUUUUUGUCUCCUUGUGUAUGUAUGCGAAGAAUUAAUCAAAUAUUAUACAAUAGAAUCAUCACGUGUUUAUGAUUUUUUUCCAUACUCGACGUUACUUUUAUUCUAUAAUUGAUUGCAAUUAAUAGCUAGGGUUUUUGUUUUGACUUUAAAUUCCUGGAAAUGUGAAAUUUAAAGAUUGUUUAAGGAAGAGGAGGGUUUUCGAUGCUGGACAUGCAAGCCUUGUCCCCUACAAGCCCUUAAACUUGCACUCAACCUUGUCCCAAGCAAGUACCUUAAACUUUGUCUCGAGCAAACACCUAAGUCUUGACCUUCCAAGAAUCUCAAAUCUUGCCUCGUACAAGCAUCAUUACAAAUAUUUUGUACAUUUAGAUAAAAUUAGUCUUAAAAAAUCAAUAAGUAAAAGGACCAACCAUAUAAUUUCGAAGUCUAUAAAGUAUCGUAUGUAAAAAUUUUAAGUUAAGGUUUGGGUUCAACAUCCUUCCUUUUUAAUCUUAAAUACGAAUGGUGUCCAAUCCCUUCCUUUCAAAUUUUUAACAAGUUCGGAGUUAAGCCCUUUUCAAACUUUUAAUAUGUUCGGGGAAAAGCCCCAUUCCAUUUAAUAUUUUUAACAAGGUUGGGGUCAAGCCUUUCCUUUUAAUUUUUUAACAACGUCAGUGUCAUGUUCCUUUUCUUUCAAAUUUUUAACAUAACCGAGGUUUAGCCCUUCUUUUCAAAUUUUUUGACAAGGUCGAGGUAAAGCCCCUUCCUUACAAAUUUUUUAACAAGAUCGAGGUUAACUCCCAUUCCUUUUAAAUUUUUAAAAUGAUCGGGACACGCUAUCUUAGAUCUCUCCGGGGCCUAUCAACUUGACAUGAGCGUGCCUACUCCUUGGCAUGAUCAUUCCUAAUCCAUAGCUUGAGCAUGCCUAUCUCUUUGCAUGAAUGAUGAGAACCACAGAACGAUGGCCAACAAGGAUUUGUUGAUUGUGUAAGAAGGACCAAUGAAGAGCUCGCAAGCGAAGAAGAUCAAGAAAGUCAUAUGAUUACUUGCCCAAGCUACUAUGUGGACCAAGAGUUCGAAUGCAACGAACAAUAAUUUCACAACUCACCAUAUCUUUAGGAAUUAAUUUCUUAAGAGGAGGCGGUGCAGACGUCUUUCGAUGCUUAGGGGUUAUCAAGGGAGCGACGUCCAAGUCAGAUUGCUAUAGAAAAAACACGAAAAAAAUUAGUUACUAUCCAGAAAAUAAGUAAGAAGCCUUUAAAAAUAAUUAACACGUGAAUUUACCCACAGUAGUCUGAGCACGAACAUUGUGGAAUUUUGAAUUGGAGGGAUGACUUGCCACAAAGGAAAGAUGGGUAAAAGGCAAAUAACAAGCAAAGGAAAAUUACUUAGAGUAUGUUUGAUUAACAUGGAAAAUAUCACCUAGAAAAGAAAAUAUUUUCCAUCUUUUGUGGAAAAUAAAAACUACAUUUACCCAAGGAAAAUGUUUUCCUUAAAAACAAGGAAAAUUAGGCUUAUUUUCAAAAGUUGGAAAAUGUUUUCCAUGGAAAAAAAAAUAGCAAUCAAACACUCCAAGUAGGAAUUUGGGUGGAAAACUCCAUAAACAAAACUAGGACAUAAUCAUAGAAGGGUGAGGGAAAAUCAGUUGCAGUACCCAAUUGUAUAUUUUAUUGGGUGUGGUUACAAACUUCGAACAAGUUUUGGGGAAGGGAGGAGAAAGAUAAUAAUACCUAUUUUGUGGGUGCAUUUUAUUCAUCGCCUUCAUAGGAUGGUAGAUAGAUAAGAAAACCUCUGGAGAAAGACUUCCAAGCCUGCAAUAUCCCAUAGCAAAAAUGAACCAACCAUAUAGGGCCAUCCAUUCAGCAUAAGUUGGGUGGGAGCAGUAUUAAUGGAAGAAAGGAUGGGAUGAAAAAAGGGUGAAAGGGGAUUUUAAGCCUCAUUUCCAUCAAAUACCUAUGGGUAACUAUACAAUCAUGAGGGCGAUCCACGGUUUGUAAUUGCCUAGGACAAAUCAAGUCUAUGUCCGCAGGGAUACCAAAGAGAUCUCGAAAUUUACCUAAAUCAUUUUUCAAUAAUAUUGGCAAAUAUCUCUAAGGCUUCAAAAGCCUCCCUAUCGUCGGUAUUCAAAUCAAUCAAAACUCAAAGGUUGCGAACCUUAUUAAUAUUUGGUUGGAAACUACCUCCCGAGUUAAGAAGUUUAGGAUUACCCCUGCCCUUCGGGGCAUAGCCUAGUGGUACAAAGGACAGGAGUGACGUUAUUUCACGCCUUGCUGGCAGCCGCAGUGUGAGGGUUCGAUUCCUGAGACAUGGAAUUUGACUCCUUGUAGGCGCAGUGUACAGACAGCUCUUGUUCCUGGCUUGCUGGGGCACAUCCCGCGAUUUACCUCCCUUACAAAACUCUAGAAGCGGGGUGGCGGGGGCCCUCAAAGUUGGGGUUCAAUCUUAAGUUUAGGAUUACCCCUAAAAGUGGAUGGCUUCGUUGCGGAAUGGAGACCCAUUAGAAGAAAAAAGGCACCCCAAGGAAAAAGUCCCCAAGUCUAAAACUUUCGACUUUUGAGUCUGGGACAAAUUUUGAGAAUCACUUUAAGAAGACACGGUAAUAAAAGUAGAACGCAAAAUACAUCUAAAGAAAGGGAAAAAUUACUAAAGAGAAUAUGUAUAGCAAGAAAAAGAUCACAAAGAAGGGACAAGAAACCUAUAAGAAGAAAAGACAUUUUAUAGAUUCUAAAAAGGAACGUGAGCCAUUAGACUAAAUACUUAAACAAAUCACAGCCAUCCAAAUUAUCCAGGCAAUCACGACCAUUAGAUGUUAGGGGGUGUCUGAUUGAAAAUUCAAAAAGAAUGAAUACGAUUAUAUGUAACCAACCGCAUGUCAAAUGUGCACAAGCCACUAACCUGGAAAUGUGCAAAAUAGGCCUUGUUGUGCACGUAAAUAAUUGUAACAAUCAUAGCAUGUUCCCUCAAUAUAGCCCAAAUCAUCGAAGAGUAGGCGCCAAUAAUGACAAGCUCUCAUAUUAAUAGAAAUACGAGUCCUAAAUCUAAUGCAAAUAAUAAAAUCGAACUUUGGGGACUAUUUGUUAAAACAUUGAAAUAAAAUCCGUGAAACUUGCCAUAUUGAUAGCGAAAACGUAAGGUGACAUGUGAAGGAACGAGGCGUAACCAAAGUAGGCGAAUCUUCUCUCAUUCAGGCUGGAUACAAAUUGUUACUAGAAUAACAAAUAGAUUAACGAAUAAAAUAUGAUACUCUGAUUAUAGCUAAUAAGAAGCUGCCAUUUUUCAUUGUCCCUAAUUGACCAAAUUACCACUAAACUUGGAGGAAAAUCUAUAAAUGCACUUAUUUUUGAAGAGAAAGACAUGCAAUUUAAAUAUUUAUAUUUCAAAUUGGUUUUCUUUUUUUUUUUCUCCUACUUCAAGUUUGAGCGUCGAAACCAGUAAGUUUAGAAGGAGAAGGUUAUAGUUAUGUUAUUUGUUUUGUUUUGUUUACCAUCAACACCCGGUUCUUAUGAAGGGAUUUUCUCUCCCAACCAUUUCAAAUAACCACGCGUCUACUAUGCAGGUAUAGAAUGGCCAAGAGCCUAAGCUACUCCAUGGACUACAAGCUGAAUGUAAGUCAGCCAUCUAACGGUCGUGGGAAACCCAAAAUUGGCAGCUAUAUCGUUUAUUUUUGUUUUGUUUUAUAAUAAUGUUCCUUUAUUUCAAUUUAGCAUCGAUAGGUCGACAAACAGUUUAAAAAUCCAUCUUUCUUGUCAGAAGGUUUCGAGUUCUUAUAAUGUUAGGCUUUGAAUUUGUUGUAUUUGACCCAAAUCCAGAAACAAUGUCAAAA